UGCAGAAUCCCGUGAACCAUCGAGUCUUUGAACGCAAGUUGCGCCCGAAGCCAUCAGGCCGAGGGCACGUCUGCCUGGGCGUCACGC
RNAcentral lists this ribosomal RNA (87 nucleotides) under Teucrium chamaedrys. RNAcentral's name for it is "partial 5.8S ribosomal RNA". It matches the Rfam family "5.8S ribosomal RNA", at positions 73 to 154 of the family's 154-position model. Rfam says of the family: 5.8S ribosomal RNA (5.8S rRNA) is a component of the large subunit of the eukaryotic ribosome. It is transcribed by RNA polymerase I as part of the 45S precursor that also contains 18S and 28S rRNA. RNAcentral also lists the same sequence under 1 other name. Lineage: Eukaryota; Viridiplantae; Streptophyta; Magnoliopsida; Lamiales; Lamiaceae. The record is from RNAcentral.